UGGGGAAUAUUGCACAAUGGGCGCAAGCCUGAUGCAGCCAUGCCGCGUGUAUGAAGAAGGCCUUCGGGUUGUAAAGUACUUUCAGCGGGGAGGAAGGCGAUAAGGUUAAUAACCUUGUCGAUUGACGUUACCCGCAGAAGAAGCACCGGCUAACUCCGUGCCAGCAGCCGCGGUAAUACGGAGGGUGCAAGCGUUAAUCGGAAUUACUGGGCGUAAAGCGCACGCAGGCGGUCUGUCAAGUCGGAUGUGAAAUCCCCGGGCUCAGACUGGGAACUGCAUUCGAAACUGGCAGGCUAGAGUCUUGUAGAGGGGGGUAGAAUUCCAGGUGUAGCGGUGAAAUGCGUAGAGAUCUGGAGGAAUACCGGUGGCGAAGGCGGCCCCCUGGACAAAGACUGACGCUCAGGUGCGAAAGCGUGGGGAGCAAACA
RNAcentral lists this ribosomal RNA (427 nucleotides) under uncultured bacterium. RNAcentral describes it as "partial 16S ribosomal RNA". It matches the Rfam family "Bacterial small subunit ribosomal RNA", at positions 355 to 774 of the family's 1533-position model. The record is from RNAcentral.